Molecule: long non-coding RNA, 1178 nt
Organism: Planococcus citri (citrus mealybug)
Lineage: Eukaryota; Metazoa; Arthropoda; Insecta; Hemiptera; Pseudococcidae
Exons: 2
Source: RefSeq, a predicted model, not a curated record
UUUUAUUCGAUGAAUUUUAAGAGAAGUCGAAGACAUACAAAUCAUACAACUGAAGCUGUAGGUAGAUAGCUGCUUUGGAUGCUGUGCCACCGAGUAUAUAAACACUCGGCGACACAGCUAAUCUGCGAGUAGCAGAAAUAGCGUAGUUUAGCCGAUCGAGUCGGAGCACCGGGCGUUACCACUUCAUUGCCCCGUCGAAACACAGUGUGGCAACACUGCGAAUCGACAAGCACAACUUCGUGGUAGCCCGGUGCCCCUCGGACGAAGCCCAAGAAAUUCCAGCACGCUGGCUUUUUUCGGCUUCGUUCGACUGGCUGCACUGUCGCUGAUCAAAAUAUUUACUUUUGACAAAAUGGCUUGUUUCUGUGUUUCGACUUCUCUUUACAUUAAAAAAUGGUUUAAAACGAACUAAUUAAGACCUUAAAACUAAUUUAAAAACGUGAUUAAAACGUAACAAUAUAAAUAGUUUAAAACUUUCAAACGGUUAAAACAACACCGUAGUGUUUUUAUAUACUUUUAUCGGGAGAAGCCCGUUACUUUAUGAUCGAUCACCGAUCUUCAUUUACAUUUCAAAGGAAAAAGAACAACAAUAUAAGAUUUCGAAGAUCGAACGAAGAAUACAACAAUCGGCCGCCAUGUUUUUGCUCGGUGAUUCACCGGUACUUAAUUUCAACACCAUUUCCAAAUUUGGAUUUUAUUUCGAUGUAAGUAUUUUUGAUGAGCGUAUGAAUAAAUUAAAUUUCGAAGAAAUUUCGUUGUUACUUUUAUUUUAUAAUUUUGUUCGUAGAUAUGAAGAUCCAAAUUUGUGACUAGAAUAUCGUUUAGUUUGCCCCGAGGCAUUUUGUAUUUAUUCAGUGAUAGCGAAUUACCCAUGACAGGUGAGUUCCGUUUUUGAAAACUGAUUUGUCUUCGCAUUAUUAAUUUUUUUCUGCCCUUCGUAGGCUGUUUCGAUAAAUUUCCACGAUGAUACCGUUCGGUUCGAGAUGAUUUGUUUAACACGUUCGCCAAAUUUGGAUGAUAGAAAAAGAGUGGCCAUGUUGCCAGCGUAAUCGUUCGAUGCUUUUACUACUUGGAUUCAUCAAUACGAAAUAGGUAAUUUGUUUUCCUAUAAUUUUGAUUUUAUUCGACGAGUUUAAUUUUGGAUUCUUCGUAGUACGAGAACUUUUUGCGCUGAAGGC